Molecule: ribosomal RNA, 253 nt
Filed under: uncultured prokaryote
Description: partial 16S ribosomal RNA
Rfam family: Bacterial small subunit ribosomal RNA
Source: RNAcentral
GACGAACCGUGCAAACGUUGUUCGGAAUCACUGGGCUUAAAGGGCGCGUAGGCGGAAGGUCAAGUCCGAGGUGAAAUCUUUCGGCUCAACCGGAAAAGUGCCUUGGAUACGGAUCUUCUCGAGGGAGGUAGGGGCAUGUGGAACUUCCGGUGGAGCGGUGAAAUGCGUAGAUAUCGAGAGGAACACCUGCGGCGAAGGCGGGUUGCUGGGCUGACACUGACGCUGAGGCGCGAAAGCCAGGGGAGCGAACGGG